Molecule: ribosomal RNA, 390 nt
Filed under: uncultured bacterium
Lineage: Bacteria
Description: bacterial SSU rRNA
Rfam family: Bacterial small subunit ribosomal RNA
Source: RNAcentral
AUUGAACGCUGGCGGCGUGCUUAACACAUGCAAGUCGUGCGGUAACAGGCGUAGCAAUACGUGCUGACGAGCGGCGAACGGGUGCGUAAUACAUGGGAAUCUGCCUUUUAGUGGGGAAUAACCCGGCGAAAGCCGGGCUAAUGCCGCAUAAGAUCUUCGGAUGAAAGCGGGGGAUCGUAAGACCUCGCGCUGAUAGAUGAGCCCAUGCCGGAUUAGCUAGUGGUGAGGUAACGGCUCACCAAGGCGACGAUCCGUAGCUGGUCUGAGAGGACGGCCAGCCACACUGGGACUGAGACACGGCCCAGACUCCUACGGGAGGCAGCAGUGGGGAAUAUUGGACAAUGGGGGAAACCCUGACCCAGCAAUGCCGCGUGAGUGAAGAAGGCCUUA